Molecule: ribosomal RNA, 1468 nt
Filed under: uncultured Bordetella sp.
Lineage: Bacteria; Pseudomonadati; Pseudomonadota; Betaproteobacteria; Burkholderiales; Alcaligenaceae
Description: partial 16S-23S ribosomal RNA intergenic spacer
Rfam family: Bacterial small subunit ribosomal RNA
Source: RNAcentral
UUUGAUCAUGGCUCAGAUUGAACGCUGGCGGGAUGCUUUAUACAUGCAAGUCGAACGGCAGCACGGACUUCGGUCUGGUGGCGAGUGGCGAACGGGUGAGUAAUGUAUCGGAACGUGCCUAGUAGCGGGGGAUAACUACGCGAAAAAGCGUAGCUAAUACCGCAUACGCCCUUCGGGGGAAAGCGGGGACCUUCGGGCCUCGCACUAUUAGAGCGGCUGAUAUCGGAUUAGCUAGUUGGUGGGGUAACGGCUCACUAAGGCGACGAUCCGUAGCUGGUUUGAGAGGACGACCAGCCACACUGGGACUGGAGACACGGCCCAGACUCCUACGGAGGCAGCAGUGGGGAAUUUUGGACAAUGGGGAAACCUGAUCCAGCCAUCCCGCGUGUGCGAUGAAGGCCUUCGGGUUGUAAAGCACUUUUACAGGAAGAAACGGCACGGGAUAAUACCCCGUGCAACUGACGGCAUCUGCAGAAUAAGCACCGGCUAACUACGUGCCAGCAGCCGCGGUAAUACGUAGGGUGCAAGCGUUAAUCGGAAUUACUGGGCGGAAGCGUGCGCAGGCGGUUCGGAAAGAAAGAUGUGAAAUCCCAGAGCUUAACUUUGGAACUGCAUUUUUAACUACCGAGCUAGAGUGUGUCAGGGAGGGAGGAAUUCCAUGCAGUAGUGAAAUGCGUAGAUAUGGAGGAACACCGAUGGCGAAGGCAGCCUCCUGGGAUAACACUGACGCUCAUGCACGAAAGCGUGGGGAGCAAACAGGAUUAGAUACCCUGGUAGUCCACGCCCUAAACGAUGUCAACUAGCUGUUGGGGCCUUCGGGCCUGGUAGCGCAGCUAACGCGUGAAGUUGACCGCCUGGGGAGUACGGUCGCAAGAUUAAAACUCAAAGGAAUUGACGGGGACCCGCACAAGCGGUGGAUGAUGUGGAUUAAUUCGAUGCAACGCGAAAACCUUACCUACCCUUGACAUGUCUGGAAUCCCGAAGAGAUUUGGGGAGUGCUCGCAAGAGAACCGAACACAGUGCUGCAUGGCUGUCGUCAGCUCGUGUCGUGAGAUGUUGGGUUAAGUCCCGCAAACGAGCGCAACCUUGUCAUUAGUUGCUACGAAAGGGCACUCUAAUGAGACUGCCGGUGACAAACCGGAGAAGGUGAUGACGUCAAGUCCUCAUGGCCCUUAUGGGUAGGGCUUCACACGUCAUACAAUGGUCGGGACAGAGGGUCGCCAACCCGCGAGGGGAGCCAAUCCCAGAAACCCGAUCGUAGUCCGGAUCGCAGUCUGCAACUCGACUGCGGAAGUCGGAAUCGCUAGUAAUCGCGGAUCAGCAUGUCGCGGUGAAUACGUUCCCGGGUCUUGUACACCCACCGCCCGUCACACCAUGGAGUGGGUUUUACCAGAAGUAGUUAGCCUAACCGUAAGGAGGGCGAUUACCAUGGUAGGAUUCAUGACUGGGGUGAAGUCGUAACAAGUAG